UAUGCUACGCUUCUAGGCAAAGUCUUUGACAAUAACACAAACUACCAAAUUGCUACCACAAACAAUCACUAUGGUCGAAGACUUUGCCUAGAAGCGUGGCAUAUAAAUAUA
This is a non-coding RNA of Paramuricea clavata, 111 nucleotides long. The record is from the annotation of a GenBank genome assembly. NCBI's taxonomy places the organism in Eukaryota, Metazoa, Cnidaria, Anthozoa, Malacalcyonacea, Plexauridae.